AUGAACAACGUGCCCUGAAGUCUGGGAUAUACAGGUGAAAACCUGGGCAAUACCGGAUGUGACAGAAGAUUGGCAUCUUUCUUCUAUCAAAGGAGCAAUUCGCUUCAGGAACGGUUCAUGACUCAUCAGCUAGUUGGUGGGGUAAAGGCCUACCAAGGCUACGAUGGGUAGGGGGUCUGAGAGGAUGAUCCCCCCGAGAGGGACUGAGACACGGCC
RNAcentral lists this ribosomal RNA (216 nucleotides) under uncultured bacterium. RNAcentral's name for it is "partial 16S ribosomal RNA". It matches the Rfam family "Bacterial small subunit ribosomal RNA", at positions 117 to 331 of the family's 1533-position model. The record is from RNAcentral.